AACCUCGCAUGCACGGCGAGGACGACGACUGCUUGCCGACGCCGCCGCCCUCGGUGAGGAGGGAUGACAUGCACAAGCAGAAAGCACGCUGUGCACCGACCGACGCGCCGCGGGGACACGACCACCUCAACCAACGGCGCAUCUGACCACACCUCCACAUCCACACCGCUCCAGCCAGCCGGUCACAAGACAUCGCUCUGUGCCCGCCUCAUGCCGCUGCACCCCUCGGCAGCAACUCCCUCUCAGCAACAGCUAGCUCGCACGGAUCCCGCUUAUCUGAUGACCGUCUUGCUGUGCAUGACGGAUAACAGAAGACAUUGACCUUUUUAUAGAAGGGGUACAGCUAUGCACCUUUCAUGCACCUGUUGCUAGGAGCAGCACUGGCACCUAUUGCCCUGCUGUACUGAUGAGGGCCAGAGCGAACUGGGAUGCAUGUGGCGAACAGAGG
Triticum aestivum (bread wheat) is the source of this 448-nucleotide long non-coding RNA. RefSeq lists it as uncharacterized. The record is from RefSeq and is a predicted model, not a curated record. The transcript is spliced from 3 exons. NCBI's taxonomy places the organism in Eukaryota, Viridiplantae, Streptophyta, Magnoliopsida, Poales, Poaceae.